CUCGUAGGCGGUUCGUCGCGUCCGGUGUGAAAGUCCAUCGCUUAACGGUGGAUCCGCGCCGGGUACGGGCGGGCUUGAGUGCGGUAGGGGAGACUGGAAUUCCCGGUGUAACGGUGGAAUGUGUAGAUAUCGGGAAGAACACCAAUGGCGAAGGCAGGUCUCUGGGCCGUUACUGACGCUGAGGAGCGAAAGCAUGGGGAGCGAACA
This 207-nucleotide ribosomal RNA is filed under the name uncultured bacterium. RNAcentral describes it as "partial 16S ribosomal RNA". It matches the Rfam family "Bacterial small subunit ribosomal RNA", at positions 568 to 774 of the family's 1533-position model. The record is from RNAcentral.